AUGCUCACAGGGAGCUUGACAGAGCUGAACAACUGGGCACACUUAAUCCUUGGAUGCAUUUGUUCUCUCAGAUGUUGGCCCCACAAAUUCAGAGGCAUGUGUGCAUGCAUGCAUGCACGUGUGUUAGUCACUUUCACUCCACCCCACCAGGAUCUAGAAGAAACCAAAGGCACCAAAGCAAAGCUGCUGGGAACCCUUAGCUUGCCUCAGUGGAACACCCUGUGGGAAGCCAAACUACAGUCUCAUGAAGAUCAGAAGCAACUGACCCCAGAGGGGUCUGACAGCAGAGAGGAGAGAAGAGAACAGAUCUUCCCAGCAAGGGAAGAAUCUCAUAAGCAUGGUGGGGAGAAGCAAGUUGAACUAGCCCAGGGGACCAGAAAAGAGAAGAGUCCUACAGAGGCCCAUGUACUUCCUCACCCUGAACAGGUGGUAAACAGCACCUGUCAGGAAACUGGGCAUGCCGGAACCAUUGCAUCCAGACCAGUCGAGAGGUAA
Molecule: long non-coding RNA, 495 nt
Filed under: Crocodylus porosus (Australian saltwater crocodile)
Lineage: Eukaryota; Metazoa; Chordata; Crocodylia; Crocodylidae
Description: lncRNA (ENSCPRG00005016676.1)
Source: RNAcentral